This 230-nucleotide long non-coding RNA is filed under the name Brassica napus (rape). RNAcentral describes it as "long non-coding RNA (BNAP_LNC012520)". The record is from RNAcentral. Lineage: Eukaryota; Viridiplantae; Streptophyta; Magnoliopsida; Brassicales; Brassicaceae.
AAAGUUGUCUUCCAUAUCUUGUGCUUCAGUUGAGGAUUACCUGGGAUCGGUGUUGGGUUGUUAUUAUCAGGGAGAUGGGUUCCCAACCAAUAACCUGAUUUCACUGUGUGGAUCCCAUCUUGAUUAUAAUGCUAACCAACCAGAUCAUUAACUGCUUUGCAACUUAUUUUGAGAGCUAGUAUUCGUUCUACAUCUUCUGGAACCACAAAUUGCCUAAGUAUUUCUUCAUU